Molecule: small RNA, 198 nt
Filed under: Streptomyces sp.
Lineage: Bacteria; Bacillati; Actinomycetota; Actinomycetes; Kitasatosporales; Streptomycetaceae
Description: c-di-AMP sequence
Rfam family: c-di-AMP riboswitch aptamer (ydaO/yuaA leader)
About the family: This family represents a conserved RNA structure found upstream of the ydaO and yuaA genes in Bacillus subtilis and related genes in other bacteria. The ydaO/yuaA element is thought to act as a genetic "off" switch for the ydaO and yuaA genes in its native state.
Source: RNAcentral
UCCGGGCGGACGCCGAGUCCUGCCGCCGCCCGGACGACCGGUCGACAGGAGUGGAUCGGCAGGAGUGGAGGACCCGGCAAGGCGGGCCGUCCGAGAGAGAUCCGGACGGUCCUUGGGGUGAAGCCGCGUGAGCGGCCGGGCUACUUCGCCAGCCCGAAUCCGACAGGUCAUCCUUCACAGGCGGCUGACGAAGGGUUG